UGCAGGGAGCUCAAGGAGCUGGAGCCUUUGAACCGGGUUUAACAGCAAUGAAGCCAGAUUUUCUUCUGUUCUGCGGCUGUGUUAGCCUCUGUGAUCUCUGAAUAAAUCAAAGAAUUUUUCCUCAAGAAGGAAGCCUUCCACGGCUGGUUUCUUGGGAGCCUUGAAUGCUGUGCUUUGGCAGGGAAGAGCAAUGAAGAUGAAGAGGACACAAAUAUGGAAAAUAGAAGUAUCUUUCAGAAACCCAAGUUCUGGAGAAGGAGCAUCUCAGAAGUGAAAAAGAUAUGAGCUGGUGGUUUGCAGGCAAGAUGUAGUAGAUGGACAUGGGGACAAAGGAAGCAAGGAUGCCAGCAAGAGAGAGACUGAAGGAUGAGACACACCAAGGAAUUUCAUCAGGAAGGAUAAAGAAAUGAAACCAUGAAGGGGCUAACAGCUUGGGAGAAGAGUUGGGGAGUAAGUGACUGGAGAUUACACAAAGAGAGAAAGCAGGUGGGAUUUCAUGUCCACAUUAAAGGAAAUGUGAAAAGUUUUAUUGAUACAACUGACAUACAAAAAGAUAAAAAUUAAACUUAAG
This is a long non-coding RNA of Aethalodelphis obliquidens (Pacific white-sided dolphin), 571 nucleotides long. RefSeq lists it as uncharacterized. The record is from RefSeq and is a predicted model, not a curated record. Lineage: Eukaryota; Metazoa; Chordata; Mammalia; Artiodactyla; Delphinidae. The transcript has 4 exons.